Molecule: ribosomal RNA, 460 nt
Filed under: uncultured bacterium
Lineage: Bacteria
Description: partial 16S ribosomal RNA
Rfam family: Bacterial small subunit ribosomal RNA
Source: RNAcentral
CCUACGGGAGACUGCAGUGAGGAAUAUUCGUCAAUGGACGAGAGUCUGAACCAGCCAAGUAGCGUGAAGGAUGACUGCCCUAUGGGUUGUAAACUUCUUUUAUAUGGGAAUAAAAUGUUCCACGUGUGGGAUUUUGUAUGUACCAUAUGAAUAAGGAUCGGCUAACUCCGUGCCAGCAGCCGCGGUAAUACGGAGGAUCCGAGCGUUAUCCGGAUUUAUUGGGUUUAAAGGGAGCGUAGGUGGAUUGUUAAGUCAGUUGUGAAAGUUUGCGGCUCAACCGUAAAAUUGCAGUUGAAACUGGCAGUCUUGAGUACAGUAGAGGUGGGCGGAAUUCGUGGUGUAGCGGUGAAAUGCUUAGAUAUCACGAAGAACUCCGAUUGCGAAGGCAGUUCACUGGACUGCAACUGACACUGAGGCUCGAAAGUGUGGGUAUCAAACAGGAUUAGAUACCCCAGUAGUC